UACGGGGGGGGCAAGCGUUGUUCGGAAUUACUGGGCGUAAAGGGCUCGUAGGCGGCCAACUAAGUCGGAUGUGAAAUCCCCAGGCUCAACUUGGGAACUGCAUCCGAUACUGGAUGGCUUGAAUUCGGGAGAGGGAUGCAGAAUUCCAGGUGUAGCGGUGAAAUGCGUAGAUAUCUGGAGGAACACCGGUGGCGAAGGCGGCCUUCUGGUCGGAUACUGACGCUAAAACGCGAAAGCGUGGGGAGCAAACAGG
This 253-nucleotide ribosomal RNA is filed under the name uncultured bacterium. RNAcentral's name for it is "partial 16S ribosomal RNA". It matches the Rfam family "Bacterial small subunit ribosomal RNA", at positions 524 to 776 of the family's 1533-position model. The record is from RNAcentral.